Molecule: long non-coding RNA, 1356 nt
Organism: Mastomys coucha (southern multimammate mouse)
Lineage: Eukaryota; Metazoa; Chordata; Mammalia; Rodentia; Muridae
Exons: 4
Source: RefSeq, a predicted model, not a curated record
UAGAAUGUCCCUACUGUUCAUAGAAUGGAAAGCCUCUUUGUCUUCUGGGCCUGAUGGCCAAAGAUGGCCUCUGCCUGCGGUGCCAUGGAGACCACAGGAACCUGGGACACUGGUUAAGUAAUGGAUAUUUCAUAUUUUAAUUGUCUUAAUUAAUAAUUUUUAAUUAAAUUUUAAUUAAUACAUAGGCCAUUUAGAUUAUAUUUUAUCCUUCUCAAGUCUCUGAUCACAUCGUCAGCUUAGCUGACUAUAACUUGACAGCUAGAGAACAGGCAACUACUCUUUAACCCUAAGGUAAUCCACCACUGUGCCAGUUCAUUAGUCAAUUCAUUAGUUAGUUGAAACUACUAGAUCUCUUAUUUUAAAAAGACAAACAGGUUUGCCUUGCUCAUGGGCUUCAUGUUAAAAGAUAAACAGGCUUCAGAUGUAACUUUUUACUAGUCCUUCAUCUAAAGGAACUCACUUUACAGUGACUAUUCCCACAGACUAGUCCUACAGUGACCUGUGUUUUAUGGUAAACAAUUGGAUAUGAAAAAAAUGGAAAGGUUGUGUAAGCUUAAGUUAUGAGGAUGUAAGGAAGUGUUUUAGGAUAGAAGAAGGUGUCUUAAGGUUCAUAGAUGCAAGUAAAAGCCUAAACAGUGAUAAGAAAAUGAUUUAAGGUAUAUCAAAAGAAUAAAAAACACUUCAGAUUUCCCCCUCAUUAUCUGACUGUUGUAUUAGGACUUCAAUAGCCCAGAGAUUUAACAUUAAUCAAUGAAAUUCUGAUAAGUUAUUAGUCUAAUUCUGAUAAUUCUGAUUCAUAUAGUGGCUUCCACUACAUGAUCCACUAUCAAAAUCACAAGUUCAAGAUUUUAGAUUUCCUCUGGUUGUCUUUUAAGAAUAGACUUAAGUGUUUCUCACUGUGCUCCAUUUACAAGCGUCCCGUCUUCUGGAUAGAGGGAAGAGGCCCCUCCUCCACAAUCUGCAGUCAUAGGAAAAUCAAGAUCUGGAUUCUUGUAAGCUUCAGGAAACCCACUCAGAUCCACCGCUCAUGGGUCAAAUGGACUCUGGGUUUUUCCUGAAGGCUAAGGCCUUCCCAGAUUUUCAUUGGGGCCUUGUGGUGCAAGUGGACUGUGCCACCAGACAGAAGUGGUAAGGUUGAAGCAAGUUCAAAACCCCAGGGGAUCUCAGAAUUGAGAAAGGUAGGUGUGAAACCAGCUCCCUACUAUGCUCUACUUGUCCUGGAACAUGUAACCAUGACAACCCAUUGAGAGGGCCAUGGCAAUCAGUCAUUAGGGACAACACCUGAAACUCUUCCUUAUGCAAAUAAAGCAUCCCCAACAUCUCAGACUGAGCCAAUGAGAAGGAUGCAUCCCCAAA